GACGAACGCUGGCGGCGUGCUUAACACAUGCAAGUCGAACGGAAAGGCCCUGCUUUUGUGGGGUGCUCGAGUGGCGAACGGGUGAGUAAAACGUGAGUAACCUGCCCUUGACUUUGGGAUAACUUCAGGAAACUGGGGCUAAUACCGGAUAGGAGCUCCUGCUGCAUGGUGUGGGUUGGAAAGUUUCGGCGGUUGGGGAUGGACUCGCGGCUUAUCAGCUUGUUGGUGGGGUAGUGGCUUACCAAGGCUUUGCCGGGUAGCCGGCCUGAGAGGGUGACCGGCACGAUUGGGACUGAGAUGCGGGCCAGACGCCGACGGGAGGGAGCAGUGGGGAAUAGUGCGCAAUGGGCGGAAGGCUGAUGCAGCAACGGCGCGUGCGGGAUGACGGCCUUCGGGUUGUAAACCGCGUUCGCCUGUGACGAAGGGUGAGUGACGGUAAUGGGUAAAGAAGCACCGGCUAACUACGUG
This 468-nucleotide ribosomal RNA is filed under the name uncultured bacterium. Its description in RNAcentral is "partial 16S ribosomal RNA". It matches the Rfam family "Bacterial small subunit ribosomal RNA", at positions 28 to 507 of the family's 1533-position model. The record is from RNAcentral.